UACGUAGGGGGCAAGCGUUAUCCGGAAUUAUUGGGCGUAAAGAGUACGUAGGUGGUUUUGUAAGCGCGGGGUGAAAGGCAGUGGCUUAACCAUUGUAAGCCUUGCGAACUGCAAGACUUGAGUGCAGGAGAGGAAAGCGGAAUUCCUAGUGUAGCGGUGAAAUGCUUAGAUAUUAGGAGGAACACCAGUGGCGAAGGCGGCUUUCUGGACUGUAACUGACACUGAGGUACGAAAGCGUGGGGAGCAAACAGG
RNAcentral lists this ribosomal RNA (252 nucleotides) under uncultured bacterium. RNAcentral's name for it is "partial 16S ribosomal RNA". It matches the Rfam family "Bacterial small subunit ribosomal RNA", at positions 524 to 776 of the family's 1533-position model. The record is from RNAcentral.